CCCGCUGAACUUAAGCAUAUCAAUAAGCGGAGGAAAAGAAACCAACAGGGAUUGCUCUCAGUAACUGCGAGUGAAGCGGCAAAAGCUCAAAUUUGAAAUCUGGUACCUCUGGGUGCUCGAGUUGUAAUUUGGAGAGGCAACUUCGGAGGGGGCGCUGGCCUAAGUUCCUUGGAACAGGACGUCACAGAGGGUGAGAUUCCCGUGCUUGGCUGGCUGUCCUCCUUCAUGUGAAGUGUCUUCGACGAGUCGAGUUGUUUGGGAAUGCAGCUCAAAAUGGGUGGUAAACUCCAUCUAAGGCUAAAUACUGGCGAGAGACCGAUAGCGCACAAGUAGAGUGAUCGAAAGAUGAAAAGCACUUUGAAAAGAGAGUUAAACAGUACGUGAAAUUGUUGAAAGGGAAGCGCUUGAGACCAGACUCGGUGAUUGGUGAUCAGCUGGUAGCUUCUGCUCCGUGCACUUGCCUUUUGCUGGCCCAGCAUCAGUUGCGACGUGCAGGAUAAAGGCUCAGGGAAUGUGGCUCUCUUCGGGGAGUGUUAUAGCCCUGGGUGUAACGCUGCCUGCCGCGACUGAGGACCGCGCUUCGGACAUAGGAUGCUGGCAUAAUGCUCUUCAGCGACCCGUCUUGAAACACGG
This 633-nucleotide ribosomal RNA is filed under the name uncultured fungus. RNAcentral's name for it is "eukaryotic LSU rRNA". It matches the Rfam family "Eukaryotic large subunit ribosomal RNA", at positions 24 to 664 of the family's 3401-position model. The record is from RNAcentral. Lineage: Eukaryota; Fungi.